AACGAACGCUGGCGGCAGGCCUAACACAUGCAAGUCGAACGAGACCUUCGGGUCUAGUGGCGCACGGGUGCGUAACGCGUGGGAACCUGCCCUUAGGUUCGGAAUAACUCCCCGAAAGGGGUGCUAAUACCGGAUAAUGUCUGCGGACCAAAGAUUUAUCGCCUUUGGAUGGGCCCGCGUUGGAUUAGCUAGUUGGUAGGGUAAAAGCCUACCAAGGCGACGAUCCAUAGCUGGUCUGAGAGGAUGAUCAGCCACACUGGGACUGAGACACGGCCCAGACUCCUACGGGAGGCAGCAGUGGGGAAUAUUGGACAAUGGGCGAAAGCCUGAUCCAGCAAUGCCGCGUGAGUGAUGAAGGCCUUAGGGUUGUAAAGCUCUUUUACCCGGGAUGAUAAUGACAGUACCGGGAGAAUAAGCUCCGGCUAACUCCGUG
Molecule: ribosomal RNA, 433 nt
Filed under: uncultured bacterium
Lineage: Bacteria
Description: partial 16S ribosomal RNA
Rfam family: Bacterial small subunit ribosomal RNA
Source: RNAcentral